RNAcentral lists this ribosomal RNA (429 nucleotides) under uncultured archaeon. Its description in RNAcentral is "bacterial SSU rRNA". It matches the Rfam family "Archaeal small subunit ribosomal RNA", at positions 146 to 576 of the family's 1478-position model. The record is from RNAcentral.
UUAAUACUGGAUAGAUCAAAGAAACUGGAAUGUUCUCUGGUCUAAAACUCCGGUGCCCAAGGAUGGGUCUGCGGCCUAUCAGGUAGUAGUGGGUGUAACGUACCUACUAGCCAGCGACGGGUAAGGGUUGUGAGAGCAAGAUCCCUGAGAUGGAUUCUGAGACAUGAAUCCAGGCCCUACGGGGUGCAGCAGGCGCGAAAACUUUACACUGCGGGAAACCGCGAUAAGGGGACCCCGAGUGCCAGCACCUAGUGCUGGCUGUCCUACUGUCUAAAUAACAGUGGUUAGCAAGGGCCGGGCAAGACCGGUGCCAGCCGCCGCGGUAACACCGGCGGCCCGAGUGGUAACCGUUUUUAUUGGGUUUAAAGGGUCCGUAGCCGGCUUACUAAGUCUCUUGGGAAAUCUGGCGGCUCAAUCGUCAGGCGUUCA